Long non-coding RNA from Ictalurus punctatus (channel catfish), 11580 nucleotides. NCBI's taxonomy places the organism in Eukaryota, Metazoa, Chordata, Actinopteri, Siluriformes, Ictaluridae. The record is from Ensembl.
CAACAAUCCUUGCCUUUGGAAGUUUCCAAAAGAGUAAUUGAUAUGGAGGAUAAAUUCAGCGAAUCUGGAAAAGCUUUAAGAUGAGUCUACAAGUGUUGUCUAAUUUCCACGAGAAUUUGGCGUCUCCUGGCUCAGCUGUACGAGUCUUUCAGCUUUUCUGGACAACAAGCAAACCAGAGGACACCCGUGGAAAAAUUUCACCCUGAAAGUUCGUGUUGACAUGCAGGCGGUUUGCCCUUUAUUGUGCAAAGUGAAAGACCGAUGCAGCCUUACCACUGACGUAGGAAUCAUCAAGAAACAGCCUUAAGGUGAACAGCCAAAUAGCGGUGAGGUCACAAAGCCAACUGAACAGCAAACCCCUAAAACCCAGAAAAAAACAGUUGCCUCACCCAGCUCAACCAUUCAAUACUCCCCAGCAGCAUUCCGCAUAGAAGGAUUGGAUCUUACAGCAGAUGAGGAACUAGCAAAGUGGCUUGGUAGAGAGUCAUCCGUGUAUGUCAAGAGGAUCAGAUAUGUGCAUAUAAACAAUCCCAAAAUAGCUCUUUAAAUGUUUUGGGACAGACUCAAUCAGUGCUAAGCUGUUCCUGAAAUUGUUGAAAGUUCACUUUUCAGAAAACCUGAUAAUUAUCCAACAAAGAUAAUCUCAGAUUAAGAGAACUCGGAGAACUUCUCAUGAAAUUACAGUCUGCAAAAGAGGAGAAAUACUUACCAGGGUUAGCUUACCUUGAUACUGUCCGGGGCAUCAACCCUAUGGUAGACAAACUGCCACAUAGUCUGCAGGAGAAGUGGAUGUCCAUUGGAACAAGAUACAAAGACGAACACAAUGUUCACUUUCCUCCGUUUUCCCUCUUCACACAAUUUGUAUGCUGUGAAGCCAGGACAUGAAAUGACCCCAGCUUUAUGCUGUCUAACACCAUGGCUCUCAGCUAUGAAAAGCCCUCAUUUAAAAAGACAGCAUUGAAAAGUGUCAUAACUGCUCACAAGACAGAUGUGACUGCUUCACUUGAACCGCAAACUGAGGGAAAGGUAAAGACAAAUGACCUAUAAUAUAAAACUGUCCUGUCUAUAAUAAGCCACAUCCUCUUGCAAAGUGCAGAGGGUUCAGAGCAAAACCCAUAGAAGAACGCAAAACCUACCUCAAAGAAAACAAUGAGUGCUUUAGAUGAUGUGCAUCACCGUCUCACUUAGCCAGAGAUUGUAAAAUGCUGCUGAAAUGCAGGGAGUGUGAUAGUGACCGAUAUGCCACAGCCACAGCACCUUGGAGCUCAAAACCAAAUCAGUCAGCUUGCUCCUGUUCAAUACAAUUCUUGACGAUCAGAGUAAUUGCUCCUUAGCUCGGACAGAAUUCUUUGAUUUGUUCAAAGUUCAAAAUAGCCCAUGUCCUUGUUCACUUAGAACGUGUGCAGGUGUUGUGGAGAUGACAGGCAGAAAGGCACAUGGGUUUCAGAUAGAAGAAGUCAGUGGAGGUGUGAACAUUGAUCUUCCUACCACUUAUUGAAUGCAAUGAAAUCCUUGACAACAGGUCAGAGAUACCAACCCCAGAGGUAGCACUUUGUCACCCUCAUUUAAAACCUGUUGCAAAAUUCAUACCAAAACUAGAUUCCAAUGCUCAAAUCCUGCUUUUGUUGGGGAUAGACCUUAUUAGACCGCACAAGGCCAGGCAGCAAAUCAGCGGUCCUCACAAUUAUUCAUUUUCCCAAAGACUUGACUUAGGAUGGGUCCUAAUUGGAGAAGUCUGCUAUGGUAAUGCUCACAAGUCGAAUGUAAACAGCUUCAGUACAAAUGUGCUAAAAAAAAAUGGCAGACCUUCCUUUCUAACUCCUUGUCCAAGUCACAUUUCCCUGAAAGAGAAGGUAAAUUAUGGCGGGGAGACCAAUAAGCCAAAUUCAAUCACAAGCAUAAGAUUGCUAAUGACCUUGGUCAUACAGUGUUUGAGAGGACUAAAGAUGGCAAAAAAGUGUGCUCUCUCCUUUGAAGGCCUUUCUACAGUUUAUGGAGAAAGACUUUAAUAAAGACAAAAACUCCUGGGUUGUGCCUUUGCCCUUCAAAGCACCUCGACCAGUACUUACAAACAAUCGAGAUCAAGCACUCUCGUGGCUUAUCUCUUUAAAGCGCACUCUUGGUAGAAGGUCUUAGAUGAAGGAACACUUUCAAGGUUUUAUGAGAAAGAUGGUUGAGAAUAAACAUGCUGAACUGGCUCCUCCACUUAAAGAAAAUGAGGAAUGCUUUUAACUACCAAUUUUCAGAGUCUACCAACCACAAUAACCAGUUCAGAUGAUGGUAGUCUUUGAUUCCAGGGCACAAUACUGUGGCAUCUCUUUGAACAACAUCCUCCUCACAGGGCCAGACUUGAACAAUACUCUCUUGGGGGCACUGUUGCAUUUCCAAAAAGACUCAAUAGCAAUAACUGCCAACAUUCAGCAAAUGUUCUAUUGCUUUGUGGUGCAAGAUGAUCACAUGAUGUACUUAAGUUUUUAGUUACACAGAGACAAUGACAUGUUAAAAGAGAUCACUGAGUAUCAGAUGCGUGUCUAUGUCUUUGGAAAUAGUCCUUCCCCUGCUAUCACAAUCUACGGUAUAAGAUGUGCUACACUGGAAAGUGAGCAGGAAUAUGGGUCCGACACUCAUCAGUUUGUUGAGCGACAUUUCCAUGUUCAUGAUGGUCUGAUAUCUUUGGCAAAUGAAGCAGAUGCCAUUAAUCUGCGUAAGCGCACCCAGACCGCUCUCACUCAAUCAAACUUAAAACUCCACAAAAUUGCUUCAAAUUCAGUCACAGUGAUGAAAUCCUUUCCUCCAGAUGAUCUAGCCAAAGGCGUAAAAGACCUGGAUCACACCAAAGAAAGUCUUCAGACUCAGAGCAGUCUUGGAUUGUGUUUGAAUAUGGAUUCAUAUACAUUCACUUUUCAAGUGACAAACACUGAGAAGCCUUUCACUUGUUGGGGAGUUUUUUUGUUGUCAACUGUCUUUUUGACCCUCUGGGUUUAGUAGCAUCAGUCCCACUCUCAACUUCUAAAGAAAAGCAUAGCGAGUUAUAUAUCUUCUCAGAUGCAUCCAACAAAGCCAUAGCUGCAGUAGCAUAUCUUCAAGUCAUUACUGAACAUGGACUUAGUCAAGUUGGAUUUGUCUUUUGCACAGCUAAACUAGCCUCUCAGCCAGAACCCACCAUACCACGUCUUGAAUUGUGUGGAGCUGCAUUAGCUGUAGAUAUGGCAGAACUAAUUCUUGAAGAAAUUGACUUCAAGCCAGAUGCAGUUAAAUUCUACUUUGACAGUAAGGUGGUUCUCGGCUACAUAUUCAAUGAGACCAGACAUUUCUUUGUCUAUGUACACAACAGAGCGCAACAAAUCCAUGUACCAGAACAGUGGCACUUCAUACCAACAGAUCAUAACCCAGCUGAUCUUGCCACCAAGUCAGUGUCACCAUCUCAGCUUGCUAACAAACAAUGGUUUACUGGUCCAGCUUUUCUGCACAAGCCCUUCUCAACUUCCCAAGAAAUUCAAAAGAAUUUUGAGUUGAUCAAACCAGAACUGGGUGCAGAAAUUCAGCUAGAUGUCACAAGUCUUGCAACUCUGACAACAGAAAUGCUUCUUACCUGAGAAUGCUUUAAAUGUUUCUCUUCCUGGAAAGCUCUUCUAAGAGCUGUUGCACUUCUUAUCCACAUAGCUUGUUAAUUCAAAUCAAACUCAAUUGCUCUGGCAAACGAAUGCAAAGGUUGGCACUUGUGCAAAAAAGUCUGAACUCCCAAAGAGUUUUUUGCAGCUAAGCACAUCAUCCUAAAAUGUGUAAAGAAGGAAAUAUACAGUAAUGAACUCAAGGCCUUGGUAGGACAGGAAAACAUACCAAAAUGCAGUUUACUUUGGAAAAUGAACCCUCAGAUUCAAAAUGACCUGUUAAGGAUUGGUGGAUGCCUAGAAAAUGCUCCUUUAAAUCCCAAUGGCCCAUGGACUGUCACCACUCGACACAUGAGAGGAGGUUUGGCAAACAGUAAAUGUUGGGCAAUCCUUUUUACGUGUAUGAGUAUUAUUGCAGUGCAUUUUGAAGUGAUACAAGCCAUGGAUACGUCUAGCUAUAUCAAUGCAUUGCAUUGCUUCUUCACUAUUAGGGGACCAGCAAAAUAGCUCAGAUCCGAUUGUGGAACAAAUUUUGUCAGAGCAUGCAGAGAGCUGGGAUUUGCACUGGACAGCAGUGUUCAAAAGUACCUAAGUGAAUAAGGUUGUUCAUGGCAAUUCAACCCCCCUCACACAUCACACAUGGGAGGUACAUGGAAAUGAAUUAUAUGGAUUGCACGCAAAAUCUUUGAUAGUAUGGUGCUACAAAAUAAAACUAUCAAAUCUAUCUUACCCACAAAGUUCUGUGUACAUUCAUGGCUGAAGUGUCAGCUAUAAUUAAUGCCAGACCAUUGUUUCCAGUCUCAUCUGAUCCAGACAGCAGUACUUCUAACCCCUGACAUUUUGCUCACCAAAAAGUCUGGUUCAACUAUCUCUGUUGCCAAUUUCUCAGUGAAAGAUCUCUAUGGAAGCCAGUGGAGAAGAGUGCAAUCUCUUGCAGAUGAGUUCUGGGCUUGCUGGAAGUGGGAGUACCUUCCCAUCCUGCAACGGAGAUGCAAAUGGGCCACAUUGCAUCCCAAUCUUGAAGUUGGGGCUAUUGUCCUCAUGAAAGAUAUUACUCUUUCUCAUAAUGAGUGGCCUAUGGCAGUGGUUACUGCAACAUUUCCAAGUACAAAUGGAAGGCUGAGGAAAAUAGAGGUUAAAACGACCUCUCAAGGUAUAACCAAAAAGUUCUUAAGACCAAUCUCAGAGGUCAUUCUGCUUCUCUCUAAAAAGGACUGAGAUUUAAUUAGUGACAGUGAUGUUUAUUGACAUAAUAACAAUUGAUAAUAAUUGAUUGUAUUCUGUUGUAUUCUGUUUCACAAAAGUAAAGUUGUGUUGGGUUUAAAGGUCAUCUAGUGGAUAUGUAAGGUAACUGCAAGUAGCUUUAUAACAGGAAGCAGAGAGCUGAGCACAUGAACAGUACAUCUAUUACUUAGAUGAUGUGUUUCUCCUGGAUAAUCCUCGACAAUCCUUGCCGUUGGACGUUUUCAGAAGAGUAAUACCCGUAAUGUUCCUUACUUGUCCUAUUGUAAUACUUUUUAUAUGUAAAUGUGAGAUAUAGUUAAAUAUAAGAUGUCACUUAUAUGUACCAUGUUAUCUUAGUUAGCUAAAACAAGCCUUAGAUAUUGGAAGCUAUAUGUAGUCAAGCGACUAAUUGGACAUGUUUGUAUCUUUUUUUUUUUGUUUCAUGCUGAUUCAUUAUAGGGUUGUAUGAUACAAUAAAUACUGGAAUUUGACACACAUUUCCUGACUCUAUUGUGAAUGGAGUUUAACUUGCUGUCAAUCUUCAUAAAAACAUUACACGUGGAGGGAGGAUAGUAUAAUUCUGCUUGUGCCAACAAGAAAAUGGAUAAGAAAAAAGUGAUAACUGAUAUUAUUUGAGCUAUAGAUGACCAAUAUGCUCUUAAAGCCUGUGGUAUAUUUAGUUUUUUAUGCGUCCACUAGUGUAUGUGCACAGUCGUUCGCAUAGCCUCUCAAAGUAUACUCGUACAUAUAUACUGCAGGCAGUCGACACAUGCAUUAUGACAACUUGCACUACCCCUCCUGGCCUACAAGAGUCAGUACAGAGCAGUAAAGCAGGUAUUUUGGUGUGGUGGACGACAAUGAAGAAGAAUCACAAGAAGACGCAGAACAAUGCUUGGGCAAUCUCUCAGCACGAUUAUACACCAUAUAGAAAUCUUUAUACACCUUAAGGCUAGAAUUAUACAAAUGCGUGUACUUUCUAAUCGGCACUCAUUUCCGUCUCUUCCAUUUAUAUAUUUUUUUCUUUGACUACCUUAAGAAUCAAUGGCCCUGGAUCACUGUUGCCACCUUGUGGAACAACUUAAUAGUGCAAAAGAAUUAAAUGCACGUGUGCAACCUACACCUACAAAGUAUGCACGAUUACAAAAAUUGGGCGACACGCAUACAGUAUGCGCUUACUCUGCGGAUCAUGAAAUUUGUGUCACGCAUACUGUAGGCUGUUCCUAGAGUACGCUUAAAAAGUGAAGAAUACUUUCUGCUUUACCAUUGAGCUGCAUAAACAAAGGCUUAAAUUGCAGACAGAGUUUGAUUUGUUAUCUACAGGUGAGGCGGAAAGGAUUUUGUUACACACACGGCAAUUAUUAUGAAUAUGGGAUUAAGGUUUGUCGGUUGUUGGCCCACCAGCUGCAUAAACACUUCGCACUCUAUUACUUGGAUUAUGCAAUCCACCUCGGAUCCUGUAGAAAUUAAUUCAACUUUUUAAAGUUUUUAGUCCUCUUUAUACAUUGCUGGAGCUCCUGACAAUUUGGGUAAAAUUAACCAUUUUCUUAGAAAUAUUGAUUCUCACAAAGUUGACCCUCUUUUGGUAUCUGAACUUGACAGCCCCAUCACCUUAGAAGAGAUCAUUAACUCAAUUAAUUCAUUGCAAUUUAAGAAAUCACCUGGCCCAGAUGGGUUUCCUUCCAAAUUUUCUAAGAAAUUUCAUGUUACAUUGGCCCCAUUACUUCUGGCUGUAUUCGAGGAAUACUAGUUAUGCUGCCACCAACAUUGAGAUAAGCAUCCAUAACUCUAUUACUUGAAGAUGGGAAGGAUUCAUACAGACCUAUUAGUAAUAGGUAAUUCAUACAGACCUAUUAGCCUCUUCAAUAUUGAUAUCAAGAUUUUAGCAAAACUUUGGGCCUCUCAUUUAGAGGGAAUUCUCCAUAGCAUUAUUUCAGAGGAGCAAACUGGAUUUAUAAAAGGACGGCAUUCCUAUUCUAAUAUUCAUAUUCUUUUUAGUAUUUUAUACUCAAAACAAAACAGCAACUCCUCUGAAGUGGAAAUUUCUUUGGAUGCCGAAAAGCCGUUUGAAAGGAUAGAAUGUGAACAUCUUUUUUAUGGUGCUAAAGGAGUUUGGCUUUUCGGAUGGAUUGAUAUCAUGGAUCUGUUUGUUAUAUGUUGAACCACAAGCUUUCAUAUAUACCAAUGAUGUUAAAUCUGACUAUUUUACUUUGUCAUGUGGUAUGCACCAGGGAUGUCCUCUGUCUCCCUUACUUGUUGCCAUAGCAAUUGAUCCUCUCUCAAUAAUGCUUAGAACUCUUCCUGAAUUUCAGGGUAUAAUCUGCAAGAGAAUUGAACAUAAACUAGCCCUAUAUGCUGACGACUUACUAUUUUAUGUUAUACAUUCAUCCAUCCAUCCAUCCGCUUAUAAUUCCUUCAGGGUCAUGGGGAAACCUGGAGCCUAUACCAGGGAGCAUCGGGCACAAGGCAGGGUACACCCUGGACAGGGUAUGUUAUCGAUCCAAUGAAAUCUAUUCUAGAGAUAAUAAGCCUAUUAGAUGAUUUGGGGAAAUUUUACAGGUAUAAACUGAACCUAAAAAAGAGUAAAUGCUUACCCAUAAACCAAUCUGGCCAAAAAAUUAAACAGACUGACAUACCUUUUCACCUGGAGGCUUCAAAAUUCAAAUAUCGGUGUUAAUGUCAUGGUUCCUAUUCUGCAUUAAUGGCAGCAAACUUUACACCCUUAAUUUCAUACAUGAAGUCAGUUUUUCAAAGAUGAGCAGCUCUUCCCGUCUUAUUAUUUCACAGAUAUAUGCAACGAUCUGGUCAAAGGACAAUUCUCACAAUAUCAAAACCAUUAGUGCUUGGGAAGAGGAAUUAAGCCUAGAGUUUGAGGAUGAUUACUGGGGCAGAGUGUUAGAUAAUACAUGUACCACCAGGUCAUGUGCUAGACUUAGUUUCAUCCAAUGUAAAGUGGUCCAUAGAGCUCAUCUUUCUAAGACUAAACUAUCUAAAAUAUAUUCCAAUGUUCCUGACAUAUGUUAAAAAUUAAAACUUUCGCCCUGUAACCUCAGUCAUAUGUUUGCUCUCUAUACCAAACUGCAGAACUUUUGGAACUCUUUCUUCAAAUCUGUCUCCGAUGUUCUUAAAAUCAUAUUAGAUGUCUGUCAUUUAUUUUCCAUCUUUAGUGUUGAAUCUCAGUGUCAACCUAUGAACCAUAAACAAGCUAGUGUUGUGGCUUUUGCAUCAUUGCAUGCCCAGCGCAGAAUAUUGCUGUCUUGGUCCUCUCCACAACCCCCUUCUAUAUCAGUCUGGCUUAAAGGUUUAAUCUUCUUUUUAAAACUUGAAAAAAUCAAGUAUAACAUAAGAGGCAGGGGUGGAUCAUUUUUUGAAAAAUGCGGCAAUUUAUUGCCUACUUCAAUGAUGUAUGUACCCUGGAGAUGGAUUGAGGGAAGGUAUAAAUACUAAUCUUCUUACUUUAGGUUAUUUUUGUUUUUGUUUCUUUUUCGUUGUGUGUAGUUGAGCCUCAGAUAUCAUUUGGUUUUGGCUGUGAUUAUUGUGUUGGGGCUGGGUAUGGUGGGGUUUGUUGGAUGAGGUGUUAUAAUAUGUAAAAUGUGAUUUUCCAAUAAAAAAUCUAUGGAAAAAAAAAGAAGUGCAGGAGUUACAUAAAGUUUGAUAUUUAGGGCCCUAUCACUACUGGUGUGAGGACCAUUGGAUCUGCUCCAUGUACUAGGGCAUGAGCACCGGAGGUGCAAGGCCCUAUUGUAUCUGCUCCAUUAAUUAGGGCCCGAGCAUUGAUGGUGUGAGGCCCUAUUGGAUCUGCUCCGUUUAUUAGGACCCAAGCACCACUGGUGUGAUGCGCUAUUGGAUCUGCUCUGUUUUCUAUUAUUAUUAUUAUUAUUAUUAUUAUUAUUAUUAUUAUUAUUAUUAUUAUCUUAUAUGAAUCGCAUUUUAGAGGGCCUAAACAUACCCAAAAACUUACAAAACUUUGCAGACAUAUCAGAACUGGUGUAAAUUUAAAUGUGAUGGGGUUUCAGAAUUGAGUAUGGAAAAAAUGGCUCAAAAGUGUCACCUACAAAAUUUCAGCGAUGUGUAGCAUGCCAAUACAUACCAAAAAGUCUCUUGAAGCUGUGCCCUAAACUCAAUAGGAAGUCAGCCAUUUUGAUUUUUCUCUUAAAUUUUUGGUGUGUUUUUGCCAUUUCCAGGCCUCAUACUUUAAUGAAUUCGUCCUAGAGAUUUCAUCAGGUUGACAUCAUAUUUGUUCAAUCUCAUAUAAACAGUGUGACAAUGCUAAAUUGUGAAGCUUUUGAGUGUCCGCUGCACGGUGUGGGCGUGGCGGUCUCACAGAUUUUGAUGUUUUGCUAUGAAAAAGGAAGUUUAUAUAACUCAAACAUACAAUGUCCAAUCUGCUCCAAACUUCACAUGUUUGAUAAAGGUCUGGGCCUGAAGAUAUCUACAUACCAAAUGUAACUGGUUGUAGUCUGCGUUAUGUUUUUAUUUAAUCCAGAAAAAAUGUAGGCGGCUGGCAACUGGGUCGACUCUUUGUUUAUUCUCUCCUCUCUCUCUCCCAUUCAACCAUAACACUAAAGGGAAGAGGAGGAGCCAAAACAGGAAAUUACACAAACCCAUGACAUCACGACAAUUAAAAGGAAAAGCACUCACACAAACAGACAGUCAUCCAGGUACACACAUCUUCUUUUGUGUAAUUCUACAUGUUAAAUUUAUGGAGUAUUUUCCAUACCUAUUACAUUCACCCCCCUAGAAUUACACAAAAUUUAGAGAACACUGGAAAAAAAUUUGUACACAGGUCAUAAGUUUAUGGUCCACACACAAAACAAUCAGUGAAGACAGUCAGCAUUGAAAGCUACCCAAUGAAAGGAUAAAAAUGGUUUGAAAUUGGCCAAAUUUCAACAUUCCAUAGACAUUAUUAAGGUGCCCAUUACACCUCAAACACUUAGACCAAGUACUCAAAUAAGGCAAGUUUUCAGUAGAAAAAACAAAGGAACAAGGCAAGAUUUCAGUAGAAAAAACAAAUGAAGUAGAAAAAACAAAUGCAAGUUUCAAAAACCACAUGUACUUAUAGACAAACUGAAUUCAAACAUGAAUAGCUGGAGACCCAGAAUCAAAACUUAACAGGGUUUCAAGUUGAACCAUACAUUCAAUGAGUCUGCAUACUGGUUUGAUGACUCUCCCAAUCCUGCUAGUGAAAUGAUCACCUGUAUUUAAAUCAGCUAUAGGAUCUUGCCUAAAGGGUACACUGGCAGAGAUAUGAUUUUGGGAUGAAUGGCUAGGACCAGCACCAGCCACAGUAUUAUCAUCAGUCACUGGUGCAGCAACUUGUGCAUUUGGCUGCUCUUGAUUGCCCAACUGAGAAUGCACCCUCGAUGAAGUGGGUGCAUCACAAGUGUCAUCAUGAUUUCCCUCUACAACCCUUGUUAGCCACAAGCACUUGGUCACCAACGGCUAGAGGUAGGCCUUUAACUGUUUUGUUGUGCUGGCUGGACUGGUGUCUUUGCUACACAACAGAAUUCUUUUGUGCUAACGUCAUGGCAGACUGGAGGUGGCUGAUUAACGAUUUCACUUACUCGUUAUAGUCACAAACAGACUUAUCCUGCAAAACACUUUGGAACAUGAAGUCAACUGUCAAUCUUGGAACUCUACCGAACAUUAGGUAAAAAGGGGCAAAACCUGUUGUUUCGUGUGCUGUACAGUUGUACACAAAAGUCAUGGUCUGUACAAACUGACGCCACUUCUGCUUAGACCUAGGUGGAAGGGACCUCAAUAUGUUUCCUAAUGUCCUAUUGAAACGUUCGGUACCACCAUUCCCCAUCGGGUGGUAAGGAGUGGUUCUAGACUUGUCGAUGCCAGCCAGUUCAAGAAGCUCAGCAAUCAGCUCACUCUCAAAGGUAGCCCCUGGUCAGAAUGGAUGCGUUGGGGAAAUCCAUAGACACAGAAAAAAAACAUCCCACAGUUUCUUAGCCACUCUUUUCACCAUCUGGUCCUGACCCGGAAACGCAUGCGCUAGCUUUGUGAAGUGAUCCGUGAGCACCAAAACAUCCAAAGAUUUGUUGGUCCGAUCCUCAGCAGACCAGAAGUUGAUGCAUACAAGCUCCUACGGGGCUGUGGUUUUAAUACUCUCCAAAGUGGCUCUCGCUGCAGGUUCCGGAGUUUUGCUGAGGAUACACCUGGGACAUUUCCUCACAUAAUCCCGCACAUCACGCUCCAUAUUGAGCCAGAAAAUGGGUGGGCUAAAUGGGCUAAAGACAAAGUGCGCGGCUGCCCUUGAUGGCCAGGUUAUGACACUCUAGCAAUGACAGGGUCUUUGUGCUGAUGUUCUUGCAAGUCUGUCAGUGAAAGGGAAUGAAACACUUCUUCAUCACCACUGAUUAAAGAGGUCAGAUGUUUAGCAAAUUAUGUUGCUCUACAUUCAGUUCCUGUUUCCCAUUCAUCACAGGAGGACAGAAUGGAAGACACGUUGCCAGCAGACAUUGAUGUAUCCAGCCCAACAUCAAGUGGACCUGAUCCUAAUUUUUGUGGUUGGCAGACGGCAGAGACCCCCACAGCCUGCCACUGCUGUUCAUCUGCUUUUCCCAAGACACAGUAUGGAACUGAAGAACAGGUAACACUAAGUGAAUCCAGGCUGCGGAUGAAUACAAAAUAGCAGGAACUUCAUGUUAUGGAUCUUCUUUGGACAGCAAAGGUUGGAAGCAAACUAGGAAAUCUUAGCACUCCUCAAUAUUAUCAGUCCAGAGGAGGAGGGAUGUGUGAG